This 475-nucleotide ribosomal RNA is filed under the name uncultured bacterium. RNAcentral describes it as "bacterial SSU rRNA". It matches the Rfam family "Bacterial small subunit ribosomal RNA", at positions 28 to 507 of the family's 1533-position model. The record is from RNAcentral.
GAUGAACGCUAGCUACAGGCUUAACACAUGCAAGUCGAGGGGCAGCAUGGUCUUAGCUUGCUAAGGCCGAUGGCGACCGGCGCACGGGUGAGUAACACGUAUCCAACCUGCCGUCUACUCUUGGACAGCCUUCUGAAAGGAAGAUUAAUACAAGAUGGCAUCAUGAGUCCGCAUGUUCACAUGAUUAAAGGUAUUCCGGUAGACGAUGGGGAUGCGUUCCAUUAGAUAGUAGGCGGGGUAACGGCCCACCUAGUCUUCGAUGGAUAGGGGUUCUGAGAGGAAGGUCCCCCACAUUGGAACUGAGACACGGUCCAAACUCCUACGGGAGGCAGCAGUGAGGAAUAUUGGGUCAAUGGGCGAGAGCCUGAACCAGCCAAGUAGCGUGAAGGAUGACUGCCCUAUGGGUUGUAAACUUCUUUUUUCAGGGAGGAAUAAAUGACGUGUACCUGAAGAAUAAGCAUCGGCUAACUCCGUG